CCUACGGGAGGCAGCAGUGGGGAAUUUUGGACAAUGGGGGCAACCCUGAUCCAGCCAUGCCGCGUGAGUGAAGAAGGCCUUCGGGUUGUAAAGCUCUUUCGGCCGGGAAGAAAUCGCAUAGGCUAAUACCCUGUGUGGAUGACGGUACCGGAAUAAGAAGCACCGGCUAACUACGUGCCAGCAGCCGCGGUAAUACGUAGGGUGCGAGCGUUAAUCGGAAUUACUGGGCGUAAAGCGUGCGCAGGCGGUUUCGUAAGACAGAGGUGAAAUCCCCGGGCUCAACCUGGGAACUGCCUUUGUGACUGCGAGGCUAGAGUACGGCAGAGGGGGGUGGAAUUCCACGUGUAGCAGUGAAAUGCGUAGAGAUGUGGAGGAACACCGAUGGCGAAGGCAGCCCCCUGGGCCGAUACUGACGCUCAUGCACGAAAGCGUGGGUAG
This 438-nucleotide ribosomal RNA is filed under the name uncultured bacterium. RNAcentral's name for it is "bacterial SSU rRNA". It matches the Rfam family "Bacterial small subunit ribosomal RNA", at positions 338 to 768 of the family's 1533-position model. The record is from RNAcentral.